Molecule: non-coding RNA, 14896 nt
Organism: Xyrichtys novacula (pearly razorfish)
Lineage: Eukaryota; Metazoa; Chordata; Actinopteri; Labriformes; Labridae
Source: the annotation of a GenBank genome assembly
GGUCGGCGUUCAGGACUUGCUUGGUUGCAGAUUAAUUCGCGCCAAUAACUUAAGAAAAUAAUUUCGCUGGCCAGCCGAUAUUAUCUUCAGGAGUCACUUUAGCGAACAAAAAUAAAAAGACUUAGACUGAGGUUCUCUUAUGCGCGCAGCUUGUUACUGAGGCUCUAAAGGACUUGGGAAUGCUUUCAUCCAAGUUUAGAAUAAAAAUCUGAGCUUAAGGCACUUAAUAACACGCGGGGAAAAAUUGCGAACGAUAGACGAAGACAAAAGAAAACUAGACGAAGACAAAAACGGAAGAGACAAAAACUGAAGAGAAGACAAAACUGAAAAGAAGACAAAACUGAAGACCGAGCAAAGACUCCCGGGCUCUUUUAAACCAUCCCGUGUGGGCGUGAGCCAAGAGGAAAGUUACAGCCAAUGCUGUAACCCGAUGCAGCACAUCGACUGGCAGCGAAUUUAACUCAACUUGAUAUUAAAAGCGAGCUAGAUCUAAUUUACUCACUCACUAUGAUUAAACUGUUUGUAACAUCACAUACGAUCACAUUUCACUUCAUUGUUUCUUAUGAGCAGACGCAUUAAAGCAUGACAUUGAAAACAGUAAACUUUGAUCAGCCGUCUUCUUGACACUAACAGAGGAUUAACGACUUUUAAAAGUUAGAGAGGGACAGAAAACCAAUUAUCUAUUCGAACAGAAACACCAUCCAGCAUAAGUAACACAUACGUUAUAAUAUUUGAGAACAUUAUAACCUUGUCAAUCAAGCUUCCUAGAUGAUUAAUAUAUAUUUUUGUGUGAGGUAGAUAAAACAUAGUAUGGAUACAUUCCGAAACUCUUAACUUGAGUCUAAACGAGUUUCACGUUACUACUUCUAAACUACUAGCCUAUCUUGGGAAUACCAUUUACUAAGCUACGAGGUGUAUAACAAAAGGAAAGAAAUACACGUGAUUAGAUUCCUGCCAUUUGGCUCUGAUCAAACCAUAUUCAGGCAUCACCACUAGGAGGAGCUCUUGGUCCAUGGAAAACCUGGAAUAAAUUUGUGAAGUUAACAGUUUGGCUUGUGGAUAUGUUACAGAAUUGGGAAAAAGACCAUUUCAUUAAGAAUGUGGUGUACAGACAGAAAAUCCUGGUGAAGUGUCCAUUAAACAAGAAGUUAAACCAUUUUCAGGCAUCCUCUUCCUUCUGCUCUGCAAAGAAAGCCAAGGAAUUUAUGGCAGGUAUCUGGUUUUUCAGAUUUGGCGCCAACCGGCCUGUUUUCCCCCCUAGGUCAUUGGGUUAAUCCUGAAGUGUCAAUUCUGAUCUUUCCCAACCAGGGUGAGAGACUCCGUGUUUAUGGGUCUGUGUGGUUGAUAAGCAACUUGUCCUUUUUGGGAAGCGUUAAAGAUUCACUAUCACCUCCCAAAUGGUUGCCUGGGUCGUAAAUGGGAACUUGGUGUGCAAACCGUUACUCCCCCAUUUCCUGUCCAAACCAGAGGAGCCUGCAUUCCUUUGAGGGGUGAAUUCAAGGUGGAUAGCAGAAAGCAGUUGUCUCAUUACAGUGUAAAGGUAAGAGGACAGGUGUGUUGGUUUAAUGCAACAUUCACAGCAGUUUAAGUUUGACACACGCGGCAGUGCUUCGUUAAUGUUAAUUAACAAGUUCCUCUGAUGUCGGCCAUGUUGGAACUGCUCCUACACAUUCACCAUUUCACCACUAGGCGCUGCUGUUUAUAAAGCUAAGGGACUGGAGAUGAAUAUGUGUCAAUGCCUCUAAUGUACCUCCUGUUCAUGAUUGUUUAGAGAAAGUGUCUGUUUGUGACGAUAGUUUCAGUAUUUAAGUUAAUUUGAAUAAGUUUGUUUAUAUCCACAUUCAACUGCUUGUUUUUUGUUCAUAUUUGUCUUAAUACGCUCCCACACAGUAAUAUUAGUCCUGUGUAUAACCAGAAAAUAAAGUGUGGAAAUGUAACCCUGGGUCCUGUCGUCUACACUUCCAAGAUAAGAAGUUGUGAGGGGGGUAAGAGUCAGCGAAGUGUUAAAUAAAGGUUUUCUUCUAUUUGUGUAUUUCACUUUACAAACACGACCGUUUGGAACUUAUUUUAAAAAUUUUUUUCAACAUACUGUACUAUGACUUUUUAAUCAUACAGAACACAGAUUUUUUUAACCAUAUGAUACUAUGAUAUUUUUUACAGACUAAAUUAUAACAAUUUUUUUUAUCAUACUUUGACUUUUAAAAUCACACUGUAUUUAUCAUAUUAUACCAUGACAUUUAUUUUAUCAUACUGUACCAUGACAUUUUUUACAUACUUAAAUAUGACUUUUUUUUUUCAUACUAUACUUUGACAUUUUGAUCAUUUUAUCCUAUGACAAGUUUUGUUCAUACUAUACAAAAUUGUCAGGCUGGGGCCACUGUGGCCUGUAUCAGAAAUGGACAAGAAGCUGAAGACAGAGAUCUGAUAAGAGUCUUCAGUGACUGGAGUCAGAAUAACUGCCUCCUCCUCAACUCCUCAAAGACAAAGGAGAUGGUCAUAGACUUCUGUAGAUCCAAACCUCCUCUUCAGCCAGUGAACACCUGUGGAGUGGACAUCCAAGUGGUGACAUCAUAUAAAUAUCCAGGUGUACAUCUGGAUAAUAAGUUGGACUGGUCUAAGAAUAUCGACUUCAUCUACAGAAAGGGGCAGAGCCGCCUCUUUAGCCUGAGAAGACUCCGAUCAUAGACAUCUGUAGUUAGAUGCUGCAGAUGUUUGAUCAGUCUGUGGUGUAGAUCUACAGUGUUCUGUUCUACGCUGCAGUCUGCUGGGGAGGAAGUAUCAAACACAAAGAUGGAGACGUCUGAACAAACUGGUGAAAAAGGCUGGCUCUGUGGUAGGACUCCAGCUGGACUCAGUGGAGGAUGUGGUGGAGAGAUCUACACUGAAAUUUUCGUCAUAGUAUACUAUGUUGUUUUUUUUCAGGCUAAAAUAUGACAUUUUUAACAUCCUUUACCUCUUUUUUUUUGCUGAGUCAAUACUAUGGCAUGUUUUUUCAUCUUAAAAAUGGAAUUUUAUUUUGACUGUAAAAUUUGAAAUUUUCGUCAUUGUAUACUAUGUCGUUUUUUUUUCCAGGCUAAGAUAUGAUAUUUUUAACAUCCUUAUCUAUGUCAUUUAGAUCAGACAAUACCAUGGCAAGUUUUUUCAUCUUAAAAAUGGAAUUUUAUUUUGACUGUAAAAUAUGAAAUUUUUGUCAUAGUAUACUAUGUCGUUUUUUUUCAGGCUAAAAUACGUUUUUUUUUUUCUCAGGCUAAAAUAUGAUAUUUUUAACAUCCUUUGUGAUGUCAUUUAGAUCAGACAAUACUAUGGCAUGUUUUUUCAUUUUAAAAAAGGAAUUUUAUUUUCACACUAAAAUCUGAAAUUUUCGUCAUAGUAUACUAUGUCGUUUUUUUUCAGGCUAAAAUAUGUUUUUUUUUUCAGGCUUUUUUUUCAGACCGCAGCAAACUGGCAGCCUGCAGAUCUUUUACACGCACCAAUACUACAUUUCCCACAAUGCAACGGUGACGCACCAAGAAGUAGGCUGCUUCAUUUCAAUAUUUAAAUCUAACCCUAACCCUAACUCCUCCCUCUAACCCAACCCCUACCUCUAACCCUAACCCUCCCUCUAACCCUAACCCUAAGUCUAACCCAAACCCUAACCCCUAACCCUAGCCACUAACCCUAGCCCUAACCCUAACCCUAGCCACUAACCCUAGCCCUAACCCUAACCCUAGCCCUAACCCUCCCUCUAACCCUAACCCUAAAUCUAACCCAAACCCUAACCCCUAACCCUAGCCACUAACCCUAACCCUAGCCCAAACCCUAGCCCUAAUCCUAACCCUAGCCCUAGCCCUAACGCUAACCCUAGCCCUAGCCCUAACCCUAAACCUAACCCUAGCCCCAACCCUAGCCCUAACCCCAGCCCCAACCCUUAAGCUAACCCUAGCCCCAACCCUAAACCUAGCCCUAACCCUAGCCCUAACCCUAACCUUAACCCUAACCCUAGCCCUAACCCUAACCCUAACCCUAACCUUAGCCCUAACCCUAACCCUAGCCGUAACCCUAACCCUAACCCUAGCCCUAACACUAACCCUAGCCCUAACACUAACCCUAACCCUAGCCCUAACCCUAACCCUAACCCUAACCCCCUAACCCUAACGCUAACCCUAACCCUAGCCCUAACCCUAACCCUAACCCUAACCCUAAACCUAGCCCUGGGCCUAACCCUAACCCUAACCCUAACCCUAGCCCUAACCCUAACCCUAACCCUAGCCGUAACCCUAACCCUAACCAUAUAACCCCUAACUCGAAGGGUUAGGGGUUAUAUGGUUAGGGAAAAUAAUCCCGUCUCCCCUAAAUUCUCCCCUAAAUUCCCCCUAAAUUCCCCUAACCAUAUAACCCCUAACUCGAAGGGUUAGGGGUUAUAUGGUUAGGGUUAGGGUUUGAUGGAAGGAUGGAAGGAACUAGGGUUAGGGUUAGGGUUAGGGUUAGGGUUAGGGGGUUAGGGUUAGGGUUAGGUUUAUGGAUAUAGGGGGACUGUCUCCUAGAAUAGGAGACAGGAGGUGCACGGUCCAUCCCCCUGUUCCCCGUCCCCCACGACCCCGUUUGGUACUGCUGAUAAGUGCGAUACGGACGUUGACCACGCCUUCUCCCGUAUCGCACUUCAGUCCAUUGUUCUUGGUCGUAAGUCAUGAUUGUUGUUUUAACCUUUUUAAUUAUUUAUUGUUAUUUAUUAAUGUGGUGUAUCUAUGAAACUAUUUAUUUAUUUAUUGGUCUGUCUAUUGACCUUUUUAUUCCAAUCAAGGUAUUUAAAACAAAAACUGUAUCAAAUGAAUUGUUCUUUAUUUUUUUAUGCUUUUUUUGUGUUUUGUGAAAUAAAAAUGAAAUAAAAGUGAGAAAACUAAAUAAAAUGUGUAUGAAAAUGAAGAAUCGAAGAUAAAGGGGUGAAAAGAGUGCCCAGUCGCGACGUUUCGACCCGCUUGGGUCUUCUUCAGGCUAUGGGCACAGAAAGGGAUAUGUCUGGACUUGUCUGAGUGUGUGUAUGAGAUGUUUUCUCUUCCGGAGACAUAUGUGAAGUGGGAGAAGUGGGCUGUGUGUGCGUGUGUUAUUUAUAGGGGCGUGGGAGAGAGCAGAGCCAGACGGGGCCCCCGGCCGUCUGGGUGCAGUUAACCCCAUAAAUGCCAACUGAAAUUAGAUGACAUGAAUGUUAAUGGCCAAUUGGAUUUUUUUACCCUCUUUUAACAGAUUAAUUUUAAUGAAUCAUAAUUGUAAUGCCCAAUUAGAAUUUUUUAUGCUCUUUUUAACUUAUUUAAUUUAAUGAAUUGUAAUUGUAAUGCCCAAUUUUAACGUUUGCCCAUUAGAAUUGUAAUGAAAUUGAUUUUUUAAAGACAGAUGUAAUUAUGUUAGCCCCUAAUUCCCUUUUUAAAUUUUAGAUGAGAUAUAUAUUUGUAUUAUUUAUGGUUUUAAUGUCUAAUAAUCCAUAAUGGAUUAAAAAGAAUUAAUUAAAAUAAAUUAUUAGUUUUUAGAGGUUAGGGUUAGGGGUCAGGGCUAGGGUUAGAGAGGUUAGGGUUAGAUUUGAUCCCCGAGGGUUAGGGUUAGGGUUAGGGUUAGGGUUAGGGUUAGGGUUAGGGUUAGGGUUUAGGGUUAGGGUUAGGGUUAGGGUUAGGGUUAGGGUUAGGGUUAGGGUUAGGGGUUAGGGUUAGGGUUAGGGUUAGGGUUAGGGUUAGGGUUAGGGUUAGGGGUUAGGGUUAGGGUUAGGGUUAGGGUUAGGGUUAGGGUUAGGGUUAGGGUUAGGGUUAGGGGGUUAGGGUUAGGGUUAGGGUUAGGGUUAGGGUUAGGGUUAGGGUUAGGGGUUAGGGUUAGGGUUAGGGUUAGGGGGUUAGGGUUAGGGUUAGGGUUAGGGUUAGGGUUAGGGUUAGGGUUAGGGGGUUAGGGUUAGGGUUAGGGUUAGGGUUAGGGUUAGGGUUAGGGUUAGGGUUAGGGGUUAGGGUUAGGGUUAGGGUUAGGGUUAGGGUUAGGGUUAGGGAUAGGGUUAGGGUUAGGGUUAGGGUUAGGGUUAGGGUUAGGGUUAGGGGUUAGGGUUAGGGUUAGGGUUAGGGUUAGGGUUAGGGUUAGGGGUUAGGGUUAGGGUUAGGGUUAGGGUUAGGGAUAGGGUUAGGGUUAGGGUUAGGGUUAGGGUUAGGGUUAGGGGUUAGGGUUAGGGUUAGGGUUAGGGUUAGGGUUAGGGGGUUAGGGGGUUAGGGUUAGGGUUAGGGUUAGGGUUAGGGUUAGGGUUAGGGUUAGGGGUUAGGGUUAGGGUUAGGGUUAGGGUUAGGGUUAGGGUUUAGGGUUAGGGUUAGGGUUAGGGUUAGGGUUAGGGGUUAGGGUUAGGGUUAGGGUUAGGGUUAGGGUUAGGGUUAGGGUUAGGGUUAGGGUUAGGGUUAGGGUUAGGGGUUAGGGUUAGGGUUAGGGUUAGGGUUAGGGUUAGGGGUUAGGGUUAGGGUUAGGGUUAGGGUUAGGGUUAGGGUUAGGGGUUAGGGUUAGGGUUAGGGUUAGGGUUAGGGUUAGGGUUAGGGGUUAGGGUUAGGGUUAGGGUUAGGGGUUAGGGUUAGGGUUAGGGUUAGGUUGGGGAAAUAAUCCCGUCUCCCCUAAAUUGCCCUACUUGGGUCGGCGGGGAGCGGGGAAUGCACGGGCCUACGCCCCGUCGGACACGCUCCCCAGGUCCCGAAAGGCUGGCGGCUACUUCCGCCAGCUGAACCGUAUUUGGUCUGGUGUGUAUUAAUUUGUAAUGAAGUUCAUGUAGUCCUAUUUGACUUACUCACACAUACACAAUUCAUACAUGAUCUAUAUUUGAUCUAUGUAUCCCUACAAUGUGCCUGCUGCGUCGACGUUUCGACCUAAUUUGGUCUUCUUCAGGACUGGGCACAUGUAACAGCUAAGGCUGCUGGGCCCCAAUUCAUAGGGGUGGACCAGCCAGCAGCCAGAAAGAAAUGAAAAGCCCUACCAACUUGUCUCCCUUUUAUAUCCCCUCCGCCAAAAAUUAGACUGAAUUUACUUGUAUUUAAGUUAUUUUCUACUCUAUUUAGUUUUUGAAAUCUUAACCCUUUCUGCACCGCUUGUGCUUUAAAUCCAUAUUAAUUAUGUUUAUUCACAUAUUUGUGCUUUUAAUAAACAAAUUAAUAGGUAUUUUUGAUCCCAAUAUUAGGGUUAGGGUCCUGCUUGACCUUUGACCUCUGUGGCCUGCUUGGCCGUUGGUCAUUAAGUUGCCUCUAAUGGUUAGGGUUAGGGCGAGUCCCAGGUUAGGGUUAGAAUCCCAUACUAGGGUUAGGGUUAGGGUUAGGGUUAGAUUCCCAGGUUGGGGUUAGUGCUGGGGUUAGGGUUAGGGGUCAGCGCUAUGGUUAGGGUUAGGGUGAGCGCCAUGGUUAGGGUUAGGGCUAGAUGCCAGGCUGGGGUUAUCAUCAGCAGCCGCCCGGACUGCGAGUCGGCUGAUGUUUUGCAGGUCGGGACCCAGGAAACGCGGCGACAGUGGACGUGGCACUGGCUGGAUAGGUUGGGGAAAUAAUCCCGUCUCCCCUAAAUUGCCCUACUUGGGUCGGCGGGGAGCGGGGAAUGCACGGGCCUACGCCCCGUCGGACACGCUCCCCAGGUCCCGAAAGGCUGGCGGCUACUUCCGCCAGCUGAACCGUAUUUGGUCUGGUGUGUAUUAAUUUGUAAUGAAGUUCAUGUAGUCCUAUUUGACUUACUCACACAUACACAAUUCAUACAUGAUCUAUAUUUGAUCUAUGUAUCCCUACAAUGUGCCUGCUGCGUCGACGUUUCGACCUAAUUUGGUCUUCUUCAGGACUGGGCACAUGUAACAGCUAAGGCUGCUGGGCCCCAAUUCAUAGGGGUGGACCAGCCAGCAGCCAGAAAGAAAUGAAAAGCCCUACCAACUUGUCUCCCUUUUAUAUCCCCUCCGCCAAAAAUUAGACUGAAUUUACUUGUAUUUAAGUUAUUUUCUACUCUAUUUAGUUUUUGAAAUCUUAACCCUUUCUGCACCGCUUGUGCUUUAAAUCCAUAUUAAUUAUGUUUAUUCACAUAUUUGUGCUUUUAAUAAACAAAUUAAUAGGUAUUUUUGAUCCCAAUAUUAGGGUUAGGGUCCUGCUUGACCUUUGACCUCUGUGGCCUGCUUGGCCGUUGGUCAUUAAGUUGCCUCUAAUGGUUAGGGUUAGGGCGAGUCCCAGGUUAGGGUUAGAAUCCCAUACUAGGGUUAGGGUUAGGGUUAGGGUUAGAUUCCCAGGUUGGGGUUAGUGCUGGGGUUAGGGUUAGGGGUCAGCGCUAUGGUUAGGGUUAGGGUGAGCGCCAUGGUUAGGGUUAGGGCUAGAUGCCAGGCUGGGGUUAUCAUCAGCAGCCGCCCGGACUGCGAGUCGGCUGAUUUUUUGCAGGUCGGGACCCAGGAAACGCGGCGACAGUGGACGUGGCACUGGCUGGAUAGGUUGGGGAAAUAAUCCCGUCUCCCCUAAAUUGCCCUACUUGGGUCGGCGGGGAGCGGGGAAUGCACGGGCCUACGCCCCGUCGGACACGCUCCCCAGGUCCCGAAAGGCUGGCGGCUACUUCCGCCAGCUGAACCGUAUUUGGUCUGGUGUGUAUUAAUUUGUAAUGAAGUUCAUGUAGUCCUAUUUGACUUACUCACACAUACACAAUUCAUACAUGAUCUAUAUUUGAUCUAUGUAUCCCUACAAUGUGCCUGCUGCGUCGACGUUUCGACCUAAUUUGGUCUUCUUCAGGACUGGGCACAUGUAACAGCUAAGGCUGCUGGGCCCCAAUUCAUAGGGGUGGACCAGCCAGCAGCCAGAAAGAAAUGAAAAGCCCUACCAACUUGUCUCCCUUUUAUAUCCCCUCCGCCAAAAAUUAGACUGAAUUUACUUGUAUUUAAGUUAUUUUCUACUCUAUUUAGUUUUUGAAAUCUUAACCCUUUCUGCACCGCUUGUGCUUUAAAUCCAUAUUAAUUAUGUUUAUUCACAUAUUUGUGCUUUUAAUAAACAAAUUAAUAGGUAUUUUUGAUCCCAAUAUUAGGGUUAGGGUCCUGCUUGACCUUUGACCUCUGUGGCCUGCUUGGCCGUUGGUCAUUAAGUUGCCUCUAAUGGUUAGGGUUAGGGCGAGUCCCAGGUUAGGGUUAGAAUCCCAUACUAGGGUUAGGGUUAGGGUUAGGGUUAGAUUCCCAGGUUGGGGUUAGUGCUGGGGUUAGGGUUAGGGGUCAGCGCUAUGGUUAGGGUUAGGGUGAGCGCCAUGGUUAGGGUUAGGGCUAGAUGCCAGGCUGGGGUUAUCAUCAGCAGCCGCCCGGACUGCGAGUCGGCUGAUUUUUUGCAGGUCGGGACCCAGGAAACGCGGCGACAGUGGACGUGGCACUGGCUGGAUAGGUUGGGGAAAUAAUCCCGUCUCCCCUAAAUUGCCCUACUUGGGUCGGCGGGGAGCGGGGAAUGCACGGGCCUACGCCCCGUCGGACACGCUCCCCAGGUCCCGAAAGGCUGGCGGCUACUUCCGCCAGCUGAACCGUAUUUGGUCUGGUGUGUAUUAAUUUGUAAUGAAGUUCAUGUAGUCCUAUUUGACUUACUCACACAUACACAAUUCAUACAUGAUCUAUAUUUGAUCUAUGUAUCCCUACAAUGUGCCUGCUGCGUCGACGUUUCGACCUAAUUUGGUCUUCUUCAGGACUGGGCACAUGUAACAGCUAAGGCUGCUGGGCCCCAAUUCAUAGGGGUGGACCAGCCAGCAGCCAGAAAGAAAUGAAAAGCCCUACCAACUUGUCUCCCUUUUAUAUCCCCUCCGCCAAAAAUUAGACUGAAUUUACUUGUAUUUAAGUUAUUUUCUACUCUAUUUAGUUUUUGAAAUCUUAACCCUUUCUGCACCGCUUGUGCUUUAAAUCCAUAUUAAUUAUGUUUAUUCACAUAUUUGUGCUUUUAAUAAACAAAUUAAUAGGUAUUUUUGAUCCCAAUAUUAGGGUUAGGGUCCUGCUUGACCUUUGACCUCUGUGGCCUGCUUGGCCGUUGGUCAUUAAGUUGCCUCUAAUGGUUAGGGUUAGGGCGAGUCCCAGGUUAGGGUUAGAAUCCCAUACUAGGGUUAGGGUUAGGGUUAGGGUUAGAUUCCCAGGUUGGGGUUAGUGCUGGGGUUAGGGUUAGGGGUCAGCGCUAUGGUUAGGGUUAGGGUGAGCGCCAUGGUUAGGGUUAGGGCUAGAUGCCAGGCUGGGGUUAUCAUCAGCAGCCGCCCGGACUGCGAGUCGGCUGAUUUUUUGCAGGUCGGGACCCAGGAAACGCGGCGACAGUGGACGUGGCACUGGCUGGAUAGGUUGGGGAAAUAAUCCCGUCUCCCCUAAAUUGCCCUACUUGGGUCGGCGGGGAGCGGGGAAUGCACGGGCCUACGCCCCGUCGGACACGCUCCCCAGGUCCCGAAAGGCUGGCGGCUACUUCCGCCAGCUGAACCGUAUUUGGUCUGGUGUGUAUUAAUUUGUAAUGAAGUUCAUGUAGUCCUAUUUGACUUACUCACACAUACACAAUUCAUACAUGAUCUAUAUUUGAUCUAUGUAUCCCUACAAUGUGCCUGCUGCGUCGACGUUUCGACCUAAUUUGGUCUUCUUCAGGACUGGGCACAUGUAACAGCUAAGGCUGCUGGGCCCCAAUUCAUAGGGGUGGACCAGCCAGCAGCCAGAAAGAAAUGAAAAGCCCUACCAACUUGUCUCCCUUUUAUAUCCCCUCCGCCAAAAAUUAGACUGAAUUUACUUGUAUUUAAGUUAUUUUCUACUCUAUUUAGUUUUUGAAAUCUUAACCCUUUCUGCACCGCUUGUGCUUUAAAUCCAUAUUAAUUAUGUUUAUUCACAUAUUUGUGCUUUUAAUAAACAAAUUAAUAGGUAUUUUUGAUCCCAAUAUUAGGGUUAGGGUCCUGCUUGACCUUUGACCUCUGUGGCCUGCUUGGCCGUUGGUCAUUAAGUUGCCUCUAAUGGUUAGGGUUAGGGCGAGUCCCAGGUUAGGGUUAGAAUCCCAUACUAGGGUUAGGGUUAGGGUUAGGGUUAGAUUCCCAGGUUGGGGUUAGUGCUGGGGUUAGGGUUAGGGGUCAGCGCUAUGGUUAGGGUUAGGGUGAGCGCCAUGGUUAGGGUUAGGGCUAGAUGCCAGGCUGGGGUUAUCAUCAGCAGCCGCCCGGACUGCGAGUCGGCUGAUUUUUUGCAGGUCGGGACCCAGGAAACGCGGCGACAGUGGACGUGGCACUGGCUGGAUAGGUUGGGGAAAUAAUCCCGUCUCCCCUAAAUUGCCCUACUUGGGUCGGCGGGGAGCGGGGAAUGCACGGGCCUACGCCCCGUCGGACACGCUCCCCAGGUCCCGAAAGGCUGGCGGCUACUUCCGCCAGCUGAACCGUAUUUGGUCUGGUGUGUAUUAAUUUGUAAUGAAGUUCAUGUAGUCCUAUUUGACUUACUCACACAUACACAAUUCAUACAUGAUCUAUAUUUGAUCUAUGUAUCCCUACAAUGUGCCUGCUGCGUCGACGUUUCGACCUAAUUUGGUCUUCUUCAGGACUGGGCACAUGUAACAGCUAAGGCUGCUGGGCCCCAAUUCAUAGGGGUGGACCAGCCAGCAGCCAGAAAGAAAUGAAAAGCCCUACCAACUUGUCUCCCUUUUAUAUCCCCUCCGCCAAAAAUUAGACUGAAUUUACUUGUAUUUAAGUUAUUUUCUACUCUAUUUAGUUUUUGAAAUCUUAACCCUUUCUGCACCGCUUGUGCUUUAAAUCCAUAUUAAUUAUGUUUAUUCACAUAUUUGUGCUUUUAAUAAACAAAUUAAUAGGUAUUUUUGAUCCCAAUAUUAGGGUUAGGGUCCUGCUUGACCUUUGACCUCUGUGGCCUGCUUGGCCGUUGGUCAUUAAGUUGCCUCUAAUGGUUAGGGUUAGGGCGAGUCCCAGGUUAGGGUUAGAAUCCCAUACUAGGGUUAGGGUUAGGGUUAGGGUUAGAUUCCCAGGUUGGGGUUAGUGCUGGGGUUAGGGUUAGGGGUCAGCGCUAUGGUUAGGGUUAGGGUGAGCGCCAUGGUUAGGGUUAGGGCUAGAUGCCAGGCUGGGGUUAUCAUCAGCAGCCGCCCGGACUGCGAGUCGGCUGAUUUUUUGCAGGUCGGGACCCAGGAAACGCGGCGACAGUGGACGUGGCACUGGCUGGAUAGGUUGGGGAAAUAAUCCCGUCUCCCCUAAAUUGCCCUACUUGGGUCGGCGGGGAGCGGGGAAUGCACGGGCCUACGCCCCGUCGGACACGCUCCCCAGGUCCCGAAAGGCUGGCGGCUACUUCCGCCAGCUGAACCGUAUUUGGUCUGGUGUGUAUUAAUUUGUAAUGAAGUUCAUGUAGUCCUAUUUGACUUACUCACACAUACACAAUUCAUACAUGAUCUAUAUUUGAUCUAUGUAUCCCUACAAUGUGCCUGCUGCGUCGACGUUUCGACCUAAUUUGGUCUUCUUCAGGACUGGGCACAUGUAACAGCUAAGGCUGCUGGGCCCCAAUUCAUAGGGGUGGACCAGCCAGCAGCCAGAAAGAAAUGAAAAGCCCUACCAACUUGUCUCCCUUUUAUAUCCCCUCCGCCAAAAAUUAGACUGAAUUUACUUGUAUUUAAGUUAUUUUCUACUCUAUUUAGUUUUUGAAAUCUUAACCCUUUCUGCACCGCUUGUGCUUUAAAUCCAUAUUAAUUAUGUUUAUUCACAUAUUUGUGCUUUUAAUAAACAAAUUAAUAGGUAUUUUUGAUCCCAAUAUUAGGGUUAGGGUCCUGCUUGACCUUUGACCUCUGUGGCCUGCUUGGCCGUUGGUCAUUAAGUUGCCUCUAAUGGUUAGGGUUAGGGCGAGUCCCAGGUUAGGGUUAGAAUCCCAUACUAGGGUUAGGGUUAGGGUUAGGGUUAGAUUCCCAGGUUGGGGUUAGUGCUGGGGUUAGGGUUAGGGGUCAGCGCUAUGGUUAGGGUUAGGGUGAGCGCCAUGGUUAGGGUUAGGGCUAGAUGCCAGGCUGGGGUUAUCAUCAGCAGCCGCCCGGACUGCGAGUCGGCUGAUUUUUUGCAGGUCGGGACCCAGGAAACGCGGCGACAGUGGACGUGGCACUGGCUGGAUAGGUUGGGGAAAUAAUCCCGUCUCCCCUAAAUUGCCCUACUUGGGUCGGCGGGGAGCGGGGAAUGCACGGGCCUACGCCCCGUCGGACACGCUCCCCAGGUCCCGAAAGGCUGGCGGCUACUUCCGCCAGCUGAACCGUAUUUGGUCUGGUGUGUAUUAAUUUGUAAUGAAGUUCAUGUAGUCCUAUUUGACUUACUCACACAUACACAAUUCAUACAUGAUCUAUAUUUGAUCUAUGUAUCCCUACAAUGUGCCUGCUGCGUCGACGUUUCGACCUAAUUUGGUCUUCUUCAGGACUGGGCACAUGUAACAGCUAAGGCUGCUGGGCCCCAAUUCAUAGGGGUGGACCAGCCAGCAGCCAGAAAGAAAUGAAAAGCCCUACCAACUUGUCUCCCUUUUAUAUCCCCUCCGCCAAAAAUUAGACUGAAUUUACUUGUAUUUAAGUUAUUUUCUACUCUAUUUAGUUUUUGAAAUCUUAACCCUUUCUGCACCGCUUGUGCUUUAAAUCCAUAUUAAUUAUGUUUAUUCACAUAUUUGUGCUUUUAAUAAACAAAUUAAUAGGUAUUUUUGAUCCCAAUAUUAGGGUUAGGGUCCUGCUUGACCUUUGACCUCUGUGGCCUGCUUGGCCGUUGGUCAUUAAGUUGCCUCUAAUGGUUAGGGUUAGGGCGAGUCCCAGGUUAGGGUUAGAAUCCCAUACUAGGGUUAGGGUUAGGGUUAGGGUUAGAUUCCCAGGUUGGGGUUAGUGCUGGGGUUAGGGUUAGGGGUCAGCGCUAUGGUUAGGGUUAGGGUGAGCGCCAUGGUUAGGGUUAGGGCUAGAUGCCAGGCUGGGGUUAUCAUCAGCAGCCGCCCGGACUGCGAGUCGGCUGAUUUUUUGCAGGUCGGGACCCAGGAAACGCGGCGACAGUGGACGUGGCACUGGCUGGAUAGGUUGGGGAAAUAAUCCCGUCUCCCCUAAAUUGCCCUACUUGGGUCGGCGGGGAGCGGGGAAUGCACGGGCCUACGCCCCGUCGGACACGCUCCCCAGGUCCCGAAAGGCUGGCGGCUACUUCCGCCAGCUGAACCGUAUUUGGUCUGGUGUGUAUUAAUUUGUAAUGAAGUUCAUGUAGUCCUAUUUGACUUACUCACACAUACACAAUUCAUACAUGAUCUAUAUUUGAUCUAUGUAUCCCUACAAUGUGCCUGCUGCGUCGACGUUUCGACCUAAUUUGGUCUUCUUCAGGACUGGGCACAUGUAACAGCUAAGGCUGCUGGGCCCCAAUUCAUAGGGGUGGACCAGCCAGCAGCCAGAAAGAAAUGAAAAGCCCUACCAACUUGUCUCCCUUUUAUAUCCCCUCCGCCAAAAAUUAGACUGAAUUUACUUGUAUUUAAGUUAUUUUCUACUCUAUUUAGUUUUUGAAAUCUUAACCCUUUCUGCACCGCUUGUGCUUUAAAUCCAUAUUAAUUAUGUUUAUUCACAUAUUUGUGCUUUUAAUAAACAAAUUAAUAGGUAUUUUUGAUCCCAAUAUUAGGGUUAGGGUCCUGCUUGACCUUUGACCUCUGUGGCCUGCUUGGCCGUUGGUCAUUAAGUUGCCUCUAAUGGUUAGGGUUAGGGCGAGUCCCAGGUUAGGGUUAGAAUCCCAUACUAGGGUUAGGGUUAGGGUUAGGGUUAGAUUCCCAGGUUGGGGUUAGUGCUGGGGUUAGGGUUAGGGGUCAGCGCUAUGGUUAGGGUUAGGGUGAGCGCCAUGGUUAGGGUUAGGGCUAGAUGGCCAGGCUGGGGUUAUCAUCAGCAGCCGCCCGGACUGCGAGUCGGCUGAUUUUUUGCAGGUCGGGACCCAGGAAACGCGGCGACAGUGGACGUGGCACUGG